CUACAAUGAAAUUCCUGGUCUUGAUUAGUAUUUUGAGUGUGCUCAUGCAAAGAACAUGGGGAAAUGUUCAAGGCAACUAUGAUUCCCUCAGCGAAGAGAUUUUAAGUGAUAUUGACUUUAAUGUUGAUCAGUUUGAACGCCAGCCUCUAGAAGAAAAUCUGCCUUAUUCUCUGGAAGAUGAUGGAUCUCAAAAUUUUGUACCCAUUUAAAGAACACAAGAUAUGGGUCUUUGAAACAUCUCCUUCCUGAACAUCGAUGUAUAUACUUCAUCUAACAAAUCAAAUUCUUACUCUAUGUUCUAUACACAUGAGUUUGGUUCUACUAUGAUGGCAUCUGUGGAUUAUAUCAUGUCUACCAAAGGA
Long non-coding RNA from Acinonyx jubatus (cheetah), 362 nucleotides. RefSeq lists it as uncharacterized. Lineage: Eukaryota; Metazoa; Chordata; Mammalia; Carnivora; Felidae. The transcript is spliced from 4 exons. The record is from RefSeq and is a predicted model, not a curated record.